ACCUACGGGAGGCAGCAGUGGGGGAUAUUGCACAAUGGGGGGAACCCUGAUGCAGCGACGCCGCGUGGGUGAAGGAGCGUUUCGGCGCGUAAAGCUCUAUCAGCAGGGAAGAAAAAAAGUCUUUGGCUUUGGACGGUACCUGACUAAGAAGCCCCGGCUAACUACGUGCCAGCAGCCGCGGUAAUACGUAGGGGGCAAGCGUUAUCCGGAUUUACUGGGUGUAAAGGGAGCGUAGACGGCAGCGCAAGUCUGGAGUGAAAUGCCGGGGCUCAACCCCGGAACUGCUUUGGAAACUGUGCAGCUAG
This 305-nucleotide ribosomal RNA is filed under the name uncultured bacterium. RNAcentral's name for it is "partial 16S ribosomal RNA". It matches the Rfam family "Bacterial small subunit ribosomal RNA", at positions 337 to 644 of the family's 1533-position model. The record is from RNAcentral.